ACGUAGGGGGCAAGCGUUAUCCGGAUUUACUGGGUGUAAAGGGAGCGUAGACGGCGAUGCAAGUCUGGAGUGAAAGCCCGGGGCUCAACCCCGGGACUGCUUUGGAAACUGUGUUGCUAGAGUGCAGGAGAGGUAAGUGGAAUUCCUAGUGUAGCGGUGAAAUGCGUAGAUAUUAGGAGGAACACCAGUGGCGAAGGCGGCUUACUGGACUGUAACUGACGUUGAGGCUCGAAAGCGUGGGGAGCAAACAGG
RNAcentral lists this ribosomal RNA (252 nucleotides) under uncultured bacterium. Its description in RNAcentral is "partial 16S ribosomal RNA". It matches the Rfam family "Bacterial small subunit ribosomal RNA", at positions 525 to 776 of the family's 1533-position model. The record is from RNAcentral.